AGUGAACGCUGGCGGUAGGCCUAACACAUGCAAGUCGAACGGCAGCACAGUAAGAGCUUGCUCUUACGGGUGGCGAGUGGCGGACGGGUGAGGAAUACAUCGGAAUCUACUUUUUCGGGGGGGAUAACGUAGGGAAACUUACGCUAAUACCGCAUACGACCUACGGGUGAAAGCAGGGGAUCUUCGGACCUUGCGCGAUUGAAUGAGCCGAUGUCGGAUUAGCUAGUUAGCGGGGUAAAGGCCCACCAAGGCGACGAUCCGUAGCUGGUCUGAGAGGAUGAUCAGCCACACUGGAACUGAGACACGGUCCAGACUCCUACGGGAGGCAGCAGUGGGGAAUAUUGGACAAUGGGCGCAAGCCUGAUCCAGCCAUACCGCGUGGGUGAAGAAGGCCUUCGGUUUGUAAAGCCCUUUUGUUGGGAAAGAAAAGCAGCAGGUUAAUACCCCGCUGUUCUGACGGUACCCAAAGAAUAAGCACCGGCUAACUUCGUG
Molecule: ribosomal RNA, 492 nt
Filed under: uncultured bacterium
Lineage: Bacteria
Description: partial 16S ribosomal RNA
Rfam family: Bacterial small subunit ribosomal RNA
Source: RNAcentral